Non-coding RNA from Dipodomys ordii (Ord's kangaroo rat), 65 nucleotides. Lineage: Eukaryota; Metazoa; Chordata; Mammalia; Rodentia; Heteromyidae. The record is from Rfam.
GGUGGCUCAGUGGUAGAGUGCUUGCCUCACAUGUAUGAGGCCCUGGGUUCGAUUCCUCAGUACCA